Long non-coding RNA from Patella vulgata (common limpet), 348 nucleotides. RefSeq lists it as uncharacterized. The record is from RefSeq and is a predicted model, not a curated record. The transcript has 3 exons. NCBI's taxonomy places the organism in Eukaryota, Metazoa, Mollusca, Gastropoda, Patellidae.
UUGUCAGGCCCUCCGUUAUGCAUCACUGACAAGGGGGAACGACGCCGGAAAAUCUGGAUGAACUUUGAUUGUUCUUUCUCAGCCAAUGGAAUACUGAAUAGAGAAGGAACUACAUUUUAUUUUUUGUACACUCACAGGGUCGAGAGAUGAGGUUUGUUAUCUACGGCUAUUCAUUAGCCCUGUUGGUGCUGGAAAGGUUUUUAUUGCUUGCCUAGUUUAUUUGAAUUGAACCCGUUCUGGAUUGUGUCUUACAACAACCCACAGAUACCCGCUACAACAUAAUACAAAGAGACAAAAUAAGUCAACCCUGGUCAAAACCUUCUGAUGACUUCAAAGACAAAGUCUGUG